Molecule: long non-coding RNA, 230 nt
Filed under: Vigna radiata
Lineage: Eukaryota; Viridiplantae; Streptophyta; Magnoliopsida; Fabales; Fabaceae
Description: long non-coding RNA (VRAD_LNC017363)
Source: RNAcentral
GGCACCUACUUUUCUGACACUACACGGGGAAUUUCUGAAAGAAUUAUAAGUUAUCAUUGUUCCUAAAAUAAUAAUAAUUUCAUUAUACAUACUACAUUGAUCUUUUUAAAGAAUAAUGGUGUUUUAUAAUGUUACAGGACUCCUUAGUUGAGCAUAGCUCCCAAGGUCAAUUCACUCCAGAGGGUCGCUAGGAUAUUCUUACCGCUGCAAUUAGACAACCUGAGCACCCU